Molecule: ribosomal RNA, 359 nt
Filed under: uncultured bacterium
Lineage: Bacteria
Description: bacterial SSU rRNA
Rfam family: Bacterial small subunit ribosomal RNA
Source: RNAcentral
CACGCCGUAAACGAUGAGAACUAAGUGUUGGCGCAAGUCAGUGCUGAAGUUAACGCAUUAAGUUCUCCGCCUGGGUAGUACGGUCGCAAGACUGAAACUCAAAGGAAUUGACGGGAACCCGCACAAGCGGUGGAGUAUGUUGUUUAAUUCGAAGAUACACGAAGAACCUUACCAGGUCUUGACAUACCAUUGACAGGCACAGAGAUGUGCUCUCCUUCGGGCAAUGGAUACAGGUGGUGCAUGGUUGUCGUCAGCUCGUGCCGUGAGGUGUUGGGUUAAGUCCCGCAACGAGCGCAACCCUCAUUGUUAGUUACUACCAUUCAGUUGAGGACUCUAAUGAGACUGCCAACGACAAGUUG